RNAcentral lists this ribosomal RNA (253 nucleotides) under uncultured bacterium. Its description in RNAcentral is "partial 16S ribosomal RNA". It matches the Rfam family "Bacterial small subunit ribosomal RNA", at positions 524 to 776 of the family's 1533-position model. The record is from RNAcentral.
UACGAAGGGAGCUAGCGUUGUUCGGAAUCACUGGGCGGAAAGCGCACGUAGGCGGAUUUGUCAGUCAGGGGUGAAAUCCCGGGGCUCAACCUCGGAACUGCCUUUGAUACAGCAAGUCUUGAGUUCGAGAGAGGUGGGUGGAAUUCCUAGUGUAGAGGUGAAAUUCGUAGAUAUUAGGAAGAACACCGGUGGCGAAGGCGGCCCACUGGCUCGAUACUGACGCUGAGGUGCGAAAGCGUGGGGAGCAAACAGG